GGAUCCAGACUUUGAUCCUGGCUCAGGAUGAACGCUGGCGGCAUGCCUAAGACAUGCAAGUCGAACGAGAUGGCCCACAGAUUCAGAAGGAAGAUAGAGUGCUUGCACGAAGUUAGAAUUUUGAUGACGUGGAAAUUCCAUCUAGUGGCAAACGGGUGAAUAACACGUGGGUAACCUACCUCUAAGUUGGGGAUAACAGUUGGAAACGACUGAUAAUACCGAAUAAGCUCUACGGAGUAAAGAAGCAAACAAGCUUCGCUAAGAGAUGGGCCUGCGGCGUAUUAGCUAGUUGGUGGGGUAAGAGCCUACCAAGGCGACGAUGCGUAGCCGAACUGAGAGGUUGAUCGGCCACACUGGGACUGAGACACGGCCCAGACUCCUACGGGAGACAGCAGUUAGGAAUAUUCGUCAAUGGGGGAAACCCUGAACGAGCAAUGCCGCGUGAAUGAAGAAGGCCCUAUGGGUUGUAAAAUUCUGUUGUAUGGAAAGAAAUGUAAAGUUAGGAAAUGAACUUUACUUGACGGUACCAUUCAAGAAAGCCACGGCUAACUACGUGCCAGCAGCCGCGGUAAUACGUAGGUGGCGAGCGUUAUCCGGAUUUAUUGGGCGUAAAGGGUGCGUAGGCGGUAUGUUAAGUAUAAAAUAAAAGCCCGAAGCUUAACUUCGGUUCGUUUUAUAAACUGGCAAACUAGAGUACAGUAGAGGCAAAUGGAAUUCCUAGUGUAGUGGUAAAAUGCGUAGAUAUUAGGAGGAACACCAGUGGCGAAGGCGAUUUGCUGGGCUGUAACUGACGCUGAGGCACGAAAGCGUGGGGAGCAAAUAGGAUUAGAUACCCUAGUAGUCCACGCCGUAAACGAUGAGUACUAAGUGUCGGGAAACCGGUGCUGAAGUUAACACAUUAAGUACUCCGCCUGAGUAGUACGGUCGCAAGGCUGCAACUCAAAGGAAUUGACGG
Molecule: ribosomal RNA, 955 nt
Filed under: uncultured Bacillota bacterium
Lineage: Bacteria; Bacillati; Bacillota
Description: bacterial SSU rRNA
Rfam family: Bacterial small subunit ribosomal RNA
Source: RNAcentral